GUGGGGAAUAUUGGACAAUGGGCGAAAGCCUGAUCCAGCAAUGCCGCGUGAGUGAUGAAGGCCCUAGGGUUGUAAAGCUCUUUUACCCGGGAUGAUAAUGACAGUACCGGGAGAAUAAGCUCCGGCUAACUUCGUGCCAGCAGCCGCGGUAAUACGAGGGGAGCUAGCGUUGUUCGGAAUUACUGGGCGUAAAGCGCGCGUAGGCGGUUUUUUAAGUCAGAGGUGAAAGCCCGGGGCUCAACCCCGGAAUAGCCUUUGAAACUGGAAAACUAGAAUCUUGGAGAGGUCAGUGGAAUUCCGAGUGUAGAGGUGAAAUUCGUAGAUAUUCGGAAGAACACCAGUGGCGAAGGCGACUGACUGGACAAGUAUUGACGCUGAGGUGCGAAAGCGUGGGGAGCAAACAGGAUUAGAUACCCGUGUAGUCC
This 425-nucleotide ribosomal RNA is filed under the name uncultured bacterium. Its description in RNAcentral is "partial 16S ribosomal RNA". It matches the Rfam family "Bacterial small subunit ribosomal RNA", at positions 354 to 796 of the family's 1533-position model. The record is from RNAcentral.